RNAcentral lists this ribosomal RNA (319 nucleotides) under uncultured eukaryote. Its description in RNAcentral is "partial 18S ribosomal RNA". It matches the Rfam family "Eukaryotic small subunit ribosomal RNA", at positions 1470 to 1796 of the family's 1831-position model. The record is from RNAcentral.
CCCCUAGAUGUUCUGGGCCGCACGCGCGCUACACUGAACAGUUCAACAAGUCUUAACCUUGGCCGAUAGGUCUGGGUAAUCUUUGAACGCUGUUCGUGAUUGGGAUAGACCUUUGCAAUUAUGGGUCUUCAACGAGGAAUUCCUAGUAAACGCAAGUCAUCAGCUUGCAUUGAUUACGUCCCUGCCCUUUGUACACACCGCCCGUCGCACCUACCGAUUGAAUGGUCCGGUGAAAUCUCGGGACGGCGGCUUGGUCGCUUGCGUCCGACUGCUGAAACUUGAUUAAACCAUAUCAUUAGAGGAAGGUGAAGUCGUAACA